AGAGCUCAAAUUUAAAAUCUGGCAGUUCCCUGAGCUGUCCGAGUUGUAAUCUAGAGAAGUGCUUUCCGUGCUGGACCGUGUACAAGUCUCUUGGAAUGGAGCGUCAUAGAGGGUGAGAAUCCCGUCUUUGACAUGGACUACCAGCACUUCUGUGAUGCACUCUCGAAGAGUCGAGUUGUUUGGGAAUGCAGCUCAAAAUGGGUGGUAAAUUCCAUCUAAAGCUAAAUAUGGGCGAGAGACCGAUAGCGAA
Molecule: ribosomal RNA, 250 nt
Filed under: Hygrocybe cf. conica sp. 4 CRJH-2017
Lineage: Eukaryota; Fungi; Basidiomycota; Agaricomycetes; Agaricales; Hygrophoraceae
Description: partial 28S ribosomal RNA
Rfam family: Eukaryotic large subunit ribosomal RNA
Source: RNAcentral